Molecule: ribosomal RNA, 431 nt
Filed under: uncultured Alphaproteobacteria bacterium
Lineage: Bacteria; Pseudomonadati; Pseudomonadota; Alphaproteobacteria
Description: bacterial SSU rRNA
Rfam family: Bacterial small subunit ribosomal RNA
Source: RNAcentral
CGUGAGUGAAGAAGGCCCUUGGGUUGUAAAGCUCUUUCGUCGGGGAAGAAAAUGACUGUACCCGAAUAAGAAGGUCCGGCUAACUUCGUGCCAGCAGCCGCGGUAAUACGAAGGGACCUAGCGUAGUUCGGAAUUACUGGGCUUAAAGAGUUCGUAGGUGGUUAAAAAAGUUGGUGGUGAAAUCCCAGAGCUUAACUCUGGAACUGCCAUCAAAACUUUUUAGCUAGAGUAUGAUAGAGGAAAGCAGAAUUUCUAGUGUAGAGGUGAAAUUCGUAGAUAUUAGAAAGAAUACCAAUUGCGAAGGCAGCUUUCUGGAUCAUUACUGACACUGAGGAACGAAAGCAUGGGUAGCGAAGAGGAUUAGAUACCCUCGUAGUCCAUGCCGUAAACGAUGUGUGUUAGACGUUGGAAAUUUAUUUUCAGUGUCGCAG